Molecule: ribosomal RNA, 1289 nt
Filed under: Marinobacter pelagius
Lineage: Bacteria; Pseudomonadati; Pseudomonadota; Gammaproteobacteria; Pseudomonadales; Marinobacteraceae
Description: bacterial SSU rRNA
Rfam family: Bacterial small subunit ribosomal RNA
Source: RNAcentral
AGGGGGUGCUUGCUCCCCGCUGACGAGCGGCGGACGGGUGAGUAAUGCAUAUGAAUCUGCCCAGUAGUUGGGGAUAGCCCGGGGAAACCCGGAUUAAUACCGAAUACGCCCUACGGGGGAAAGCAAGGGAUCUUCCGACCUUGCGCUAUUGGAUGAACCUAUGUCGGAUUAGCUAGUUGGUGGGGUAACGGCCUACCAAGGCGACGAUCCGUAGCUGGUCUGAGAGGAUGAUCAGCCACAUCGGGACUGAGACACGGCCCGAACUCCUACGGGAGGCAGCAGUGGGGAAUAUUGGACAAUGGGGGCAACCCUGAUCCAGCCAUGCCGCGUGUGUGAAGAAGGCUUUCGGGUUGUAAAGCACUUUCAGUGAGGAGGAAAACCUUAUGUUUAAUAUCCAUGAGGCUUGACGUUACUCACAGAAGAAGCACCGGCUAACUCCGUGCCAGCAGCCGCGGUAAUACGGAGGUUUCAAGCGUUUAUCGGAAUUCUCGUGCUUCAAGCACGCGUAGGUGGUUAGGUAAGCGAGAUGUGAAAGCCCCGGGCUUAACCUGGGAACGGCAUUUCGAACUGUCUGACUAGAGUUUGGUAGAGGGUAGUGGAAUUUCCUGUGUAGCGGUGAAAUGCGUAGAUAUAGGAAGGAACACCAGUGGCGAAGGCGGCUACCUGAACCAAUACUGACGUUGAGGUGCGAAAGCGUGGGGAGCAAAAAAAAAUAAAUAAACUGGUAGUCCACGCCGUAAACGAUGUCAACUAGCCGUUGGGGAUCUUGAAUCCUUAGUGGCGCAGCUAACGCACUAAGUUGACCGCCUGGGGAGUACGGCCGCAAGGUUAAAACUCAAAUGAAUUGACGGGGGCCCGCACAAGCGGUGGAGCAUGUGGUUUAAUUCGACGCAACGCGAAGAACCUUACCUGGCCUUGACAUCCUGCGAACUUUCUAGAGAUAGAUUGGUGCCUUCGGGAACGCAGUGACAGGUGCUGCAUGGCCGUCGUCAGCUCGUGUCGUGAGAUGUUGGGUUAAGUCCCGUAACGAGCGCAACCCCUAUCCCUAGUUGCUAGCAGUUCGGCUGAGAACUCUAGGGAGACUGCCGGUGACAAACCGGAGGAAGGUGGGGAUGACGUCAGGUCAUCAUGGCCCUUACGGCCAGGGCUACACACGUGCUACAAUGGUGCGCACAGAGGGCUGCAAACUCGCGAGAGUAAGCCAAUCUCUUAAAACGCAUCGUAGUCCGGAUCGCAGUCUGCAACUCGACUGCGUGAAGUCGGAAUCGCUAGUAAUCGCGAAUCAGAAU